RNAcentral lists this ribosomal RNA (414 nucleotides) under bacterium enrichment culture clone ALO1_GLFRUDD03GQ5OW. RNAcentral describes it as "bacterial SSU rRNA". It matches the Rfam family "Bacterial small subunit ribosomal RNA", at positions 9 to 423 of the family's 1533-position model. The record is from RNAcentral.
GAGUUUGAUCCUGGCUCAGAUUGAACGCUGGCGGCAUGCCUUACACAUGCAAGUCGAACGGCAGCACGGGAGCUUGCUCCUGGUGGCGAGUGGCGAACGGGUGAGUAAUGCAUCGGAACGUAUCCUGGAGUGGGGGAUAACGUAGCGAAAGUUACGCUAAUACCGCAUAUUCUGUGAGCAGGAAAGCGGGGGACCUUCGGGCCUCGCGCUCUUGGAGCGGCCGAUGUCGGAUUAGCUAGUUGGUGAGGUAAAGGCUCACCAAGGCGACGAUCCGUAGCAGGUCUGAGAGGAUGAUCUGCCACACUGGAACUGAGACACGGUCCAGACUCCUACGGGAGGCAGCAGUGGGGAAUUUUGGACAAUGGGGGCAACCCUGAUCCAGCCAUGCCGCGUGAGUGAAGAAGGCCUCGGUGU